This 379-nucleotide long non-coding RNA is filed under the name Vigna radiata. RNAcentral describes it as "long non-coding RNA (VRAD_LNC005130)". The record is from RNAcentral. Lineage: Eukaryota; Viridiplantae; Streptophyta; Magnoliopsida; Fabales; Fabaceae.
UCAAAGGUGCAGAGGAGAUGAUGUUUAAUCCUUCAUUUGAACCUUUGGAUGAUUUUAGUAUUAGUACUGAAAUUAACCUGAGUGAGGAAUACCAAGCCACUAUCUCUGAAAGUGAUAAGGUUGUUAAUGAGAAAAAAAAUAGAGAUAGAGGAGGAAUAGAUAGAGAGAGAGGCUGAGGAAGAAGAAGAUGAUAAGGAGAAAAAAAGCAGUGGAUGAAAGAAAAGAAAAAAAUAGAAAAAUUGGGAAAAUAAAGAAGAAACCAAGAAAAAAUAAAAAGAGAAAGUUGAGAGAAAAGAGGAGAAAGAAAAAGAGGAAGAGAGAAAAAAAGAAAAGAUCAUGUGAAAAACCCCUUCCUCACAAAAAGAAAUAUCAUAGGCAG